GACGAACGCUGGCGGCGUGCUUAACACAUGCAAGUCGAGCGGAGAUAUAUUGAAGAUUCGUCGGAUAUAUAUCUUAGCGGCGGACGGGUGAGUAACGCGUGGGCAAUCUGCCUCAUACAGGGGGAUAACACUGGGAAACUAGUGCUAAUACCGCAUAAAAUAAUGAAGUGGCAUCACUUUAUUAUCAAAGGAGCAAUCCGGUGUGAGAUGAGCCCGCGUCCGAUUAGCUAGUUGGUGGGGUAACGGCCUACCAAGGCGACGAUCGGUAGCCGAACUGAGAGGUUGAUCGGCCACAUUGGGACUGAGACACGGCCCAGACUCCUACGGGAGGCAGCAGUGGGGAAUAUUGCGCAAUGGGGGAAACCCUGACGCAGCAACGCCGCGUGAAGGAUGAAGGUUUUCGGAUUGUAAACUUCUUUGAUGAGGGACGAUAAUGACGGUACCUCAAAAACAAGCCACGGCUAACUACGUG
This 472-nucleotide ribosomal RNA is filed under the name uncultured bacterium. Its description in RNAcentral is "bacterial SSU rRNA". It matches the Rfam family "Bacterial small subunit ribosomal RNA", at positions 28 to 507 of the family's 1533-position model. The record is from RNAcentral.